AGCAGCCGCGGUAAUUCCAGCUCCAAUAGCGUAUAUUAAAGUUGUUGCAGUUGAAAAGCUCGUAGUUGAAUUUCGGGAUCAAUGUUUCGGUCAUGCCCUUGGUAUGUACUGAUAUUAUUGGUUUCUCACCUUCUAAAGAACCGUAAUGCCAUUAAUUUGGUGUCACGGGGAAUUAGGACUGUUACCUUGAAAAAAUUAGAGUGUUUAAAGCAGGCUCACGCUUGAAUACAUUAGCAUGGAAUAAUGAAAUAGGACAUCCGAUUCUAUUUUGUUGGUUUCUAGGAUCGAUGUAAUGAUUAAUAGGGAUAGUUGGGGGCAUUAGUAUUCAAUUGUCAGAGGUGAAAUUCUUGGAUUUAUUGAAGACUAACUACUGCGAAAGCAUUUGCCAAGGAUGUUUUCAUUAAUCAAGAACGAAAGUUAGGGGAUCGAAGACGAUCAGAUACCGUCGUAGUCUUAACCAUAAACUAUGCCGACUAGGGAUCGGAUGAUGUUAAUUUUUUAAUGACUCA
RNAcentral lists this ribosomal RNA (509 nucleotides) under uncultured glomeraceous AM fungus. RNAcentral's name for it is "SSU rRNA". It matches the Rfam family "Eukaryotic small subunit ribosomal RNA", at positions 569 to 1078 of the family's 1831-position model. The record is from RNAcentral. Lineage: Eukaryota; Fungi; Glomeromycota; Glomeromycetes; Glomerales; Glomeraceae.